Molecule: transfer RNA, 59 nt
Filed under: Hypsilurus modestus (modest forest dragon)
Lineage: Eukaryota; Metazoa; Chordata; Lepidosauria; Squamata; Agamidae
Description: tRNA-Cys
Source: RNAcentral
AAGGCUUAAGAGCUAUAUAUGCUCACAAUCCGACUUGCAAUCAGAAAAUUUUUAAGCCU